RNAcentral lists this ribosomal RNA (450 nucleotides) under uncultured bacterium. Its description in RNAcentral is "partial 16S ribosomal RNA". It matches the Rfam family "Bacterial small subunit ribosomal RNA", at positions 354 to 796 of the family's 1533-position model. The record is from RNAcentral.
GUGGGGAAUAUUGGACAAUGGGCGAAAGCCUGAUCCAGCCAUGCCGCGUGUGUGAAGAAGGUCUUCGGAUUGUAAAGCACUUUAAGUUGGGAGGAAGGGCAGUAAGUUAAUACCUUGCUGUUUUAACGUUACCGACAGAAUAAGCACCGGCUAACUUCGUGCCAGCAGCCGCGGUAAUACGAAGGGUGCAAGCGUUAAUCGGAAUUACUGGGCGUAAAGCGCGCGUAGGUGGUUUUGUAAGUUGGAGGUGAAAUCCCCGGGCUCAACCUGGGAACUGCCUCCAAAACUGCAUGACUAGAGUACGGUAGAGGGUAGUGGAAUUUCCUGUGUAGCGGUGAAAUGCGUAGAUAUAGGAAGGAACACCAGUGGCGAAGGCGACUACCUGGACUGAUACUGACACUGAGGUGCGAAAGCGUGGGGAGCAAACAGGAUUAGAUACCCGAGUAGUCC